CAAGUCGAGCGAACAGAUAAGGAGCUUGCUCCUUUGACGUUAGCGGCGGACGGGUGAGUAACACGUGGAUAACCUACCUAUAAGACUGGGAUAACUUCGGGAAACCGGAGCUAAUACCGGAUAAGAUUUUGAACCGCAUGGUUCAAUAGUGAAAGACGGCCUUGCUGUCACUUAUAGAUGGAUCCGCGCCGUAUUAGCUAGUUGGUAAGGUAACGGCUUACCAAGGCAACGAUACGUAGCCGACCUGAGAGGGUGAUCGGCCACACUGGAACUGAGACACGGUCCAGACUCCUACGGGAGGCAGCAGUAGGGAAUCUUCCGCAAUGGGCGAAAGCCUGACGGAGCAACGCCGCGUGAGUGAUGAAGGUCUUCGGAUCGUAAAACUCUGUUAUCAGGGAAGAACAAACGUGUAAGUAACUGUGCACGUCUUGACGGUACCUGAUCAGAAAGCCACGGCUAACUACGUGCCAGCAGCCGCGGUAAUACGUAGGUGGCAAGCGUUAUCCGGAAUUAUUGGGCGUAAAGCGCGCGUAGGCGGUUUUUUAAGUCUGAUGUGAAAGCCCACGGCUCAACCGUGGAGGGUCAUUGGAAACUGGAAAACUUGAGUGCAGAAGAGGAAAGUGGAAUUCCAUGUGUAGCGGUGAAAUGCGCAGAGAUAUGGAGGAACACCAGUGGCGAAGGCGACUUUCUGGUCUGUAACUGACGCUGAUGUGCGAAAGCGUGGGGAUCAAACAGGAUUAGAUACCCUGGUAGUCCACGCCGUAAACGAUGAGUGCUAAGUGUUAAGGGGGUUUCCGCCCCUUAGUGCUGCAGCUAACGCAUUAAGCACUCCGCCUGGGGGAGUACGACCGCAAGGUUGAAACUCAAAGGAAUUGACGGGGACCCGCACAAGCGGUGGAACAAUGUGGUUUAAUUCGAAGCAACGCGAAGAACCUUACCAAAUCUUGACAUCCUUUGA
RNAcentral lists this ribosomal RNA (958 nucleotides) under Staphylococcus pasteuri. RNAcentral describes it as "bacterial SSU rRNA". It matches the Rfam family "Bacterial small subunit ribosomal RNA", at positions 58 to 994 of the family's 1533-position model. Lineage: Bacteria; Bacillati; Bacillota; Bacilli; Caryophanales; Staphylococcaceae. The record is from RNAcentral.